Molecule: ribosomal RNA, 440 nt
Filed under: uncultured bacterium
Lineage: Bacteria
Description: bacterial SSU rRNA
Rfam family: Bacterial small subunit ribosomal RNA
Source: RNAcentral
CUACGGGAGGCAGCAGUGGGGAAUAUUGGACAAUGGGCGCAAGCCUGAUCCAGCCAUGCCGCGUGAGUGAUGAAGGCCCUAGGGUUGUAAAGCUCUUUCACCGGUGAAGAUAAUGACGGUAACCGGAGAAGAAGCCCCGGCUAACUUCGUGCCAGCAGCCGCGGUAAUACGAAGGGGGCUAGCGUUGUUCGGAAUUACUGGGCGUAAAGCGCACGUAGGCGGACAUUUAAGUCAGGGGUGAAAUCCCGGGGCUCAACCCCGGAACUGCCUUUGAUACUGGAUGUCUCGAGUCCGGAAGAGGUGAGUGGAAUUCCCAGUGUAGAGGUGAAAUUCGUAGAUAUUGGGAAGAACACCAGUGGCGAAGGCGGCUCACUGGGCUGACCUUGACGCUGAGGCGCGAAAGCGUGGGGAGCAAACAGGAUUAGAAACCCGUGUAGUCC